Molecule: long non-coding RNA, 368 nt
Filed under: Equus caballus (horse)
Lineage: Eukaryota; Metazoa; Chordata; Mammalia; Perissodactyla; Equidae
Description: lncRNA (ENSECAG00000055004.1)
Source: RNAcentral
GCCACUAACCUGGAUUAAUCUCACACAACAGAGGAAUUCCGUCUUCCAAAAGGCAAAACUCAUGUUCAGGCCAGAACAUCAAAGAAACUAUAAGGCAUAAUUUCUGACACUGCAAAUUGGAGACAUUUCUGUUCCUGGGAAAAGUAAGAAAACAAGAAGACAGACUGGAAAAGAAAUGAUCCAGAAGUUACCCCAAAGAGACAAAGACAAGCGCUUACGCUCAGAGGGUGAAAGCUGUGGAGGAUGAAGUGAGAAAACCCAAUUGGAGUUUCAAAAAAAAGGGGUGCUGAACCUUGAUCCUCACUGUGGUACCUAGAAGGAAAUCCCAAGAAAGUGCGGUGGUUCCCUUAAGACUGUGACCUCCAGAA